RNAcentral lists this ribosomal RNA (512 nucleotides) under Oreina alpestris. RNAcentral's name for it is "partial 16S ribosomal RNA". It matches the Rfam family "Bacterial large subunit ribosomal RNA", at positions 1830 to 2604 of the family's 2925-position model. The record is from RNAcentral. Lineage: Eukaryota; Metazoa; Arthropoda; Insecta; Coleoptera; Chrysomelidae.
UCCUUUUGUAGAUAAUCUAAGGUCUAGCCUGCCCACUGAAAUUUUAAAUGGCCGUGGUAUUUUGACCGUGCUAAGGUAGCAUAAUCAUUAGUUUUUUAAUUAAAAACUGGAAUGAAAGGUUGGAUGAGAAAAUAGCUGUCUCUAUUAAAUUUAAUUAGAAUUUUAUUUUUAAGUUAAAAAGCUUAAUUAUUAUUAAAAGACGAGAAGACCCUAUAGAGUUUAAUUAUUUAAUAAAAAUUAUAUUUUAGUAUUAAUUUAUUUAUUUUAUUGAAUAAUUUAAUUGGGGUGAUUGAAAAAUUUAAUUAACUUUUUUUAUUUAAAAACAUUAAUUUAUGAAUAAAUGAUCCAAUAUUUUUGAUUAUAAGAUAAAAUUACCUUAGGGAUAACAGCGUAAUUUUUUUAGAAAGUUCAUAUUAAAAAAAAAGAUUGCGACCUCGAUGUUGGAUUAAAAUAAAUUUUUGGUGUAGAAGCUAAAAUAUUAGGUCUGUUCGACCUUUAAAAUUUUACAUGAU